CUCGGGUGACGAGCGGCGGACGGGUGAGUAAUGUCUGGGAAACUGCCUGAUGGAGGGGGAUAACUACUGGAAACGGUAGCUAAUACCGCAUAACGUCGCAAGACCAAAGAGGGGGACCUUCGGGCCUCUUGCCAUCAGAUGUGCCCAGAUGGGAUUAGCUAGUAGGUGGGGUAACGGCUCACCUAGGCGACGAUCCCUAGCUGGUCUGAGAGGAUGACCAGCCACACUGGAACUGAGACACGGUCCAGACUCCUACGGGAGGCAGCAGUGGGGAAUAUUGCACAAUGGGCGCAAGCCUGAUGCAGCCAUGCCGCGUGUAUGAAGAAGGCCUUCGGGUUGUAAAGUACUUUCAGCGGGGAGGAAGGUGUUGAGGUUAAUAACCUCAGCAAUUGACGUUACCCGCAGAAAAAGCACCGGCUAACUCCGUGCCAGCAGCCGCGGUAAUACGGAGGGUGCAAGCGUUAAUCGGAAUUACUGGGCGUAAAGCGCACGCAGGCGGUCUGUCAAGUCGGAUGUGAAAUCCCCGGGCUCAACCUGGGAACUGCAUUCGA
Molecule: ribosomal RNA, 551 nt
Filed under: Enterobacter sp.
Lineage: Bacteria; Pseudomonadati; Pseudomonadota; Gammaproteobacteria; Enterobacterales; Enterobacteriaceae
Description: bacterial SSU rRNA
Rfam family: Bacterial small subunit ribosomal RNA
Source: RNAcentral